RNAcentral lists this ribosomal RNA (489 nucleotides) under uncultured bacterium. RNAcentral describes it as "partial 16S ribosomal RNA". It matches the Rfam family "Bacterial small subunit ribosomal RNA", at positions 28 to 507 of the family's 1533-position model. The record is from RNAcentral.
GACGAACGCUGGCGGCGUGCUUAACACAUGCAAGUCGAACGGUGAAGGGACCAGCUUGCUGGUUCUGGAUGAGUGGCGAACGGGUGAGUAACACGUGAGUAACCUGCCCCCUUCUUCUGGAUAACCGCAUGAAAGUGUGGCUAAUACGGGAUAUUCUGGGUCUGUCGCAUGGCGGGCCCGGGAAAGAUAUUGCUUCGGUGGGGGAUGGGCUCGCGGCCUAUCAGCUUGUUGGUGGGGUGAUGGCCUACCAAGGCGGUGACGGGUAGCCGGCCUGAGAGGGGGGACGGUCACACUGGGACUGAGACACGGCCCAGACGCCUACGGGAGGCAGCAGUGGGGAAUAUUGCGCAAUGGGCGCAAGCCUGAUGCAGCGACGCCGCGUGAGGGAGGGAGGCCUUCGGGUUGUAAACCUCUUUCGCCAGUGAAGCAGGCCUGCUACUUGUGGGUGGGUUGACGGUAGCUGGAUAAGAAGCGCCGGCUAACUACGUG